RNAcentral lists this ribosomal RNA (245 nucleotides) under uncultured bacterium. RNAcentral describes it as "partial 16S ribosomal RNA". It matches the Rfam family "Bacterial small subunit ribosomal RNA", at positions 28 to 258 of the family's 1533-position model. The record is from RNAcentral.
GAUGAACGCUAGCGGCAGGCUUAACACAUGCAAGUCGAGGGCGAGCGCGGAGUAGCAAUAACUCUGGCGGCGACCGGCGGAAGGGUAGCGUAACAACGUGAGCGACUUGUCCCGUCCACAGGGAGGAUAACCGCUGGAAACGGACGACUAAUAUCCCACUAUGAUGGCGAUCUGCAUGGAUUGUUCAUUGAAAGAAUUCAUCGGUGGCGGAUAGGCUCGCGGGGCGAUUAGCUAGACGGCGGGGC